UGAGAUAGAGGCGCGAAGCCGAUCAGUACCCCGGGCGAUUGCUGAAUUCACAGCCCGGGCGAAAGGCGGCUUUGCCGAAGGAAUUCGGGCGGUUCAGCGCACGGACUUCUGGGGCGGAUGCAAAAAAUGCACCGCACUGUCACGUCAGUGGAGCGCUAUCGGUU
This 164-nucleotide non-coding RNA is filed under the name human gut metagenome. RNAcentral describes it as "Lysine riboswitch". It matches the Rfam family "Lysine riboswitch aptamer". Rfam says of the family: Riboswitches are metabolite binding domains within certain messenger RNAs that serve as precision sensors for their corresponding targets. Allosteric rearrangement of mRNA structure is mediated by ligand binding, and this results in modulation of gene expression. The record is from RNAcentral. RNAcentral also lists the same sequence under 1 other name.